Molecule: ribosomal RNA, 862 nt
Filed under: uncultured bacterium
Lineage: Bacteria
Description: bacterial SSU rRNA
Rfam family: Bacterial small subunit ribosomal RNA
Source: RNAcentral
GGCUCAGGACGAACGCUGGCGGCGUGCCUAAAACAUGCAAGUCGAACGGUGGUAGCAAUACCACAGUGGCGAACGGCGGAGUAAUACGUGAACAACGUGCCCUGAAGACUGGGAUAGUCGCGGGAAACUGCGGGUAAUACCAGAUGUGGCUCUGACCCGGCAUCGGGAUGGAACUAAAUGGUUUUUCGCUUCAGGAGCGGUUCACGGCCUAUCAGGUAGUUGGUGGGGUAAUGGCCUACCAAGCCGACGACGGGUAGCGGGUCUGAGAGGAUGGUCCGCUCGAGUGGGACUGAGACACGGCCCACACACCUACGGGUGGCAGCAGUUGGGAAUCUUGCACAAUGGGGGAAACCCUGAUGCAGCGACGCCGCGUGGAGGAUGAAGGCCCUAGGGUCGUAAACUCCUUUUUUUCGGGAAAGACUUAGGACGGUACCCGAAGAAUAAGCACCGGCUAACUACGUGCCAGCAGCCGCGGUAAGACGUAGGGUGCAAGCGUUGUCCGGAUUUACUGGGCGUAAAGCGCGCGUAGGCGGCUUGUUAAGUGUGAAGUGAAAGCUCCGGGCUCAACUCGGAAAUUGCUUCGCAUACUGGCUAGCUUGAGGGAUGCAGAGGUUUGUGGAAUUCCUGGUGUAGCGGUGAAAUGCGUUGAUAUCAGGAGGAACACCCAUGGCGAAGGCAGCAAACUGGGCAUUACCUGACGCUGAGGCGCGAAAGCGUGGGGAGCAAACAGGAUUAGAUACCCUGGUAGUCCACGCCCUAAACGAUGGAUACUAGGCGUAGGAGGUAUCGACCCCUCCUGUGCCGCAGCUAACGCACUAAGUAUCCCGCCUGGGGAGUACGGCCCGCAGGUUGAAACUUAAAU